ACCAGUACCGUGAGGGAAAGGUGAAAAGAACCUCGAACAGAGGAGUGCAACAGACCCUGAAACCAUAUGCCUACAAGCGGUCGGAGCGGCUCAGUGCCGUGACGGCGUGCCUUUUGCAUAAUGAACCUACGAGUCACCGUCGUUGGCAAGGUUAAGGACAAUGAUGUCCGGAGCCGAAGCGAAAGCGAGUCCGAAGAGGGCGCCGGAGUCAGCGGAGGUGGACGCGAAACCAAGUGAUCUACCCUUGGGCAGGUUGAAGGACAGGUAAAACUGUCUGGAGGACCGAACCGGUAAGCGUUGAAAAGCUUUCGGAUGACCUGAGGGUAGGAGUGAAAGGCCAAUCAAACUUGGAGAUAGCUCGUACUCCCCGAAAUGUAUUUAGGUGCAGCCUCGGAGAGAAUCUGACGGAGGUAGAGCGACUGAUAGGAUGCGAGGGCUUCACCGCCUAUCAAGUCCUGACAAACUCCGAAUGCCGUCAGACAUAUCCGGGAGUAAGGGCGCGGGUGCUAAGGUCCGCGUCCGAGAGAGGAACAACUCAGACCAUCGGCUAAGGUCCCGAAAUCCGGGCUAAGUUGAAGACAAUAACGAGGUGGGAUUGCAUAGACAGCUAGGAUGUUGGCUUGGAAGCAGCCAUUCAUUUAAAGAGUGCGUAACAGCUCACUAGUCGAGUGAUCCCGCGUGGAUAAUAAUCGGGCAUAAGUCCGGUACCGAAGCCAUGGAAUCACGCUUAGGGCGUGAUUGGUAGGGGAGCAUUCCGUACAGCGGCGAAGGUCGGUGGCGAUGCCGGCUGGAGCGUACGGAAAAGCAAAUGUAGGUAUAAGUAACGAUAAUGGAGGCGAGAAACCUCCACGCCGAAAGACCAAGGUUUCCUGAUCAACGCUAAUCGGAUCAGGGUAAGUCGGGACCUAAGGGGCAGCCGCGAGGCGGACCCGAUGGAAGAAACGGUAAAGAUUCCGUUACUGUCGCCGGGAGUGAAGCGGGGACGGAGGAGUGACACCGCCGCGGACUGACGGAAUAGUCCGUUGAAGAGUGUAGGUAUUCGGAGGCCAGGCAAAUCCGGCCUUUGAGCUGAACUUGACAGUACUGCGAGCCUUCGGGCAAGCAGACAGCGCGGGUAAGCAGACUCCCAAGAAAAUCCGCUAAACAUAUGUCGGCGACACCCGUACCGAAACGGACACACGUGGUCGGGUAGAACAUACUAAGGCGCUCGAGAGAUUCACCGUUAAGGAACUAGGCAAAUUGACCUCGUAACUUCGGGAUAAGGGGUCCCACAGCGAUGUGGGCGCAGAGAAUAGGUCCAGGCAACUGUUUAACAAAAACACAGGGCUGUGCGAAAUUUAAAGAUGAAGUAUACAGCCUGACACCUGCCCGGUGCCGGAAGGUUAAGAGGAGAAGUCAUCGCAAGAGAAGCUUUGAAUUGAAGCCCCGGUAAACGGCGGCCGUAACUAUAACGGUCCUAAGGUAGCGAAAUUCCUUGUCGGGUAAGUUCCGACCUGCACGAAUGGUGUAAUGAUCUGGACACUGUCUCAACGGUGAGCUCGGUGAAAUUGUAGUAUCGGUGAAGAUGCCGAUUACCCGCAACGGGACGAAAAGACCCCGUGAACCUUUACUGCAGCUUAGCAUUGGGACCGGGUGCGUGAUGUGUAGGAUAGUCCGGAGACAGCGAAGCGGGGGCGCCAGCCCUCGCGGAGUCGACGUUGAAAUACGGACCUUUGCGCAUCUGGUCUCUAACUCGCGGAAAGCGAGGACACUGCUUGGUGGGUAGUUUGACUGGGGUGGUCGCCUCCAAAAGAGUAACGGAGGCUUCUAAAGGUGCCCUCAGACCGAUUGGUAACCGGUCGCAGAGUGUAAUGGCAUAAGGGCGCUUGACUGAGAGGACGACAAUCCGAACAGGUAGGAAACUAGAGCAUAGUGAUCCGGCGGUACCGCAUGGAAGGGCCGUCGCUCAAAGGAUAAAAGGUACUCCGGGGAUAACAGGCUGAUCCCUCCCAAGAGCUCAUAUCGACGGAGUGGUUUGGCACCUCGAUGUCGGCUCGUCACAUCCUGGGGCUGGAGAAGGUCCCAAGGGUUGGGCUGUUCGCCCAUUAAAGUGGCACGCGAGCUGGGUUCAGAACGUCGUGAGACAGUUCGGUCUCUAUCU
This 2140-nucleotide ribosomal RNA is filed under the name human gut metagenome. RNAcentral's name for it is "bacterial LSU rRNA". It matches the Rfam family "Bacterial large subunit ribosomal RNA", at positions 494 to 2643 of the family's 2925-position model. The record is from RNAcentral.